AGAGUUUGAUCAUGGCUCAGGACGAACGCUGGCGGCGUGGAUUAGGCAUGCAAGUCGAACGGUAUAAACCUUUCGGGGUUUAGAGAGUGGCGAACGGGUGAGUAACACGUAGGUAAUCUACCCUCAAAACGGGGACAACCCAGGGAAACUUGGGCUAAUACCGGAUGCGUGCAAGCAAUGUUUUGGCUGUUAAUGCUAUUCACGGAAGUGAGUAGUGUUAAUGGUUGAGAGCAUUAUUUGCAUAAAAGGUGGCAUAUGCUGCCGUUUGAGGAUGAGCCUGCGUCCUAUUAGUUAGUUGGUGAGGUAAUGGCUUACCAAGGCGAUGAUAGGUAGGCGGCCUUAACGGGUGGUCGCCCACACUGGGAUUGAGAGACGGCCCAGACUCCUACGGGAGGCAGCAGUCGAGAAUAGUCUACAAUGGACGGAAGUCUGAUAGUGCGACGCCGCGUGAACGAAGAAUCCCUUCGGGGUGUAAAGUUCUUUUAUACGUGAGCAGUGCCCUUUAUAUGAAUAGUAUAGAGGGAGGGAUUUAAGCGUAUGAAUAAGCAACGGCUAACUCCGUGCCAGCAGCCGCGGUAACACGGGGGUUGCAAGCGUUGUCCGGAAUUACUAGGCGUAAAGUGCAGGUAGGCGGAUAGAUAAGUUUAAGGUUAAAGGCUACGGCUUACCCGUAGUAGGGCGUUAGAUACUGUUUAUCUGGAAUGCGGUUGAGGGAGACAGAAUUCCUGGUGUAGCGGUGGAAUGCGCAGAGAUCAGGAGGAAUACCGAAGGCGAAGGCAGUCUUCUAAGCCGAUAUUGACGCUAAACUGCGAAGGUGUGGGGAUCAAACAGGAUUAGAUACCCUGGUAGUCCACACAGUAAACGAUAAUCACUAGGUGUUGGGUUCGUAUAGGACCCGGUGCCGGAGCUAACGCGAUAAGUGAUUCGCCUGGGGGAGUACGAUCGCAAGGUUGAAACUUCAAUGAAUUGACGG
Molecule: ribosomal RNA, 973 nt
Filed under: bacterium enrichment culture clone HB_108
Lineage: Bacteria
Description: bacterial SSU rRNA
Rfam family: Bacterial small subunit ribosomal RNA
Source: RNAcentral